CCAUAUCAUAUUGAAACACUGGUUCUCAUACAAUCACCAAAGUUAAGCAAGGUUGAGCCUGGUCAGUACCUAGAUGAGUAACCACUUGGUAAUACCAGGUGUCAU
RNAcentral lists this ribosomal RNA (105 nucleotides) under Acanthosepion pharaonis. The record is from RNAcentral. Lineage: Eukaryota; Metazoa; Mollusca; Cephalopoda; Sepiida; Sepiidae.